RNAcentral lists this transfer RNA (74 nucleotides) under Acanthaster planci (crown-of-thorns starfish). Its description in RNAcentral is "tRNA-Arg". It matches the Rfam family "tRNA". Rfam says of the family: Transfer RNA (tRNA) molecules are approximately 80 nucleotides in length. Their secondary structure includes four short double-helical elements and three loops (D, anti-codon, and T loops). The record is from Rfam by way of RNAcentral. Lineage: Eukaryota; Metazoa; Echinodermata; Asteroidea; Valvatida; Acanthasteridae.
GCGCCCGUAGCUCAAUUGGAUAGAGCGUUUGGUUUCGGCCCAAGAGGUUGAGAGUUCAAGUCUUUCCGGGCGUA